Molecule: transfer RNA, 72 nt
Filed under: Candidatus Aminicenantota bacterium
Lineage: Bacteria; Candidatus Aminicenantota
Description: tRNA-Thr
Rfam family: tRNA
About the family: Transfer RNA (tRNA) molecules are approximately 80 nucleotides in length. Their secondary structure includes four short double-helical elements and three loops (D, anti-codon, and T loops). Further hydrogen bonds mediate the characteristic L-shaped molecular structure. tRNAs have two regions of fundamental functional importance: the anti-codon, which is responsible for specific mRNA codon recognition, and the 3' end, to which the tRNAs corresponding amino acid is attached (by aminoacyl-tRNA synthetases). tRNAs cope with the degeneracy of the genetic code in two manners: having more than one tRNA (with a specific anti-codon) for a particular amino acid; and 'wobble' base-pairing, i.e. permitting non-standard base-pairing at the 3rd anti-codon position.
Source: RNAcentral
GCUGUCGUAGCUCAGCGGUAGAGCACUUGGCCUGUACCCAAGACGUCGUGGGUUCGAAUCCUGCCGGCAGCU